Molecule: non-coding RNA, 136 nt
Organism: Hordeum vulgare subsp. vulgare (domesticated barley)
Lineage: Eukaryota; Viridiplantae; Streptophyta; Magnoliopsida; Poales; Poaceae
Source: Rfam
UGAUUACUCACUCCGUCUUAAAAAUUUUGUUUUAGGUUUGUCUAGAAAUGAAUGUAUCUAAAUAUUAAAAUAUGAGUAGAUACAUUCGUAUCAAGACAAAUAUAAGACAAGAAUUUUAGGACGGAGGAAGAACUAG